CCUACGGGUGGCAGCAGUGAGGAAUAUUGGUCAAUGGGCGCUAGCCUGAACCAGCCAAGUAGCGUGAAGGAUGACUGCCCUAUGGAUUGUAAACUUCUUUUAUAUGGGAAUAAAGUGCAGUAUGUAUACUGCUUUGCAUGUACCUUAUGAAUAAGGAUCGGCUAACUCCGUGCCAGCAGCCGCGGUAAUACGGAGGAUCCGAGCGUUAUCCGGAUUUAUUGGGUUUAAAGGGAGCGUAGGCGGGUUGUUAAGUCAGUUGGGAAAGUUUGGGGCUCAACCGUAAAAUUGCAGUUGAUACUGGCAGCCUUGAGUAGAGGAGAGGUAGGCGGAAUUCGUGGUGUAGCGGUGAAAUGCUUAGAUAUCACGAAGAACUCCGAUUGCGAAGGCAGCAUGUUGGACUGUAACUGACGCUGAUGCUCGAAAGUGUGGGUAUCAAACAGGAUUAGAUACCCCUGUAGUC
Molecule: ribosomal RNA, 460 nt
Filed under: uncultured bacterium
Lineage: Bacteria
Description: partial 16S ribosomal RNA
Rfam family: Bacterial small subunit ribosomal RNA
Source: RNAcentral